AUGGAAGAAGGGAAAGACAAGAAUAACACCACCGAGAAGGGGCUGUUCUCAAACAUGAUGCAUGGUUAUCCACCUCAUGGAGGAUACGGAUACCCUCCUCAAGGUUACCCGCCACCGGGGGUCCCCUACCCUCCUCCCGGGGCGUAUCCUCCUCCACCACAAUAUGGGUACCCUCAGCCCGGUGGCUACCCACCUCACGGUGGAUAUCCCCCCGUCGGCUACCCUGGCUACGGGGGUGGCCACGGAGGCCAUGGCUACGGCGGCGGGCACAUGGGCUACGGAGGCGGCUACGGCGGCGGCAGCCAUGCUCUCGGGCACCACCACGGAGGCCACGGCUACGGCCAUUAUGGUCACGGAGGCCAUGGCUACGGACACCACGGUCACGGACACUACCACGGCGGGCACGGCUGGGGGCACCAUGGCCAUGGAUAUCACCACCACCACCACCACGGCAAGCACGGUUACGGCAAGUUCAAGAAGUGCAAAAAUACCCCCGCGGCUGGGAAGAGCGGUAGCAUGUCUCCUCUAGAUAUCAUGCUCGAUCAGAUCAGUGCUCAGUGCAUGCCCCUAGUACACACGUCAUGUGAAGGACGGCGCCUGGGUGCGACCGUGGUGAUCAUCCUGCGCAGUUGCACGGCGCAAGGCCGGCGUUCAUCAUGUAGUGGCAGGCUGGCAGCCGCUGGGGAGGCGAGCUCCGGCGAGCAGCUACCCCCUCCCUCCCUACCCUACUGGCUAGCUAGAUAUCAUGCUCGAUCAGAUGAGUGGUCAGUUCAUACCGCUACCACGGCGAGAGGCCAGCGUUCAUCAUGUAGCAGUGGCAGGCUGGCAGGCGCCGGGGAGGAGAGCUCCGACGAGCGGCGACUCCCUCCCUCCGUGCCGCGCCGUUCCUGGCCGUCGUGGAGGCAGCAAAAGAAACCAGAGCACAGCGUCGCACGCUCAAACGAGGCUCGUUUGUGCCCAGCCGGAGAAGCGCCCACACGCGCCACGUGCCGGCUGGUCGUCGUUUCAACGCGCAAAUAUCCCCUGAGCAAAGCAACGUGGGGUUCCUUCGCCGCGUUGCUUUCUUGCUCGCCCCCACGACGGACGACGCGCUUCGGCCGCGCCUGCCUCGAGCCGCGGGAGCCCAGGGCCCCCACCUGUCAUCCACGCGGCGUACCAAUGUCAAAUCCUAUCCAUCCACCCACGAAUAAUAACUCCAGGCCGCGGGACCCGCCCGGGAUUCGGUGCGCGGGCGAGGAGGAAGGUGCCAACGCCUGCGAUGCGAGCCGGAAGGAAGCGCGUACACGAGCCCACCGCCCCUGUAUAAAAUCCCCCAGCACACACAGCCACAGCAACCCAAUAUACACGGAGAAGAGAUCGUCAUCAUCCGCCAAACCAGAUCGGCUCGGCUGCUUCCUCUUCUUCAACUUCGCAGAAUCGCUGGUCUUCUCGUCCUCUAGGUAUGCGCGCCUCCUUAUCCAUUCCAUGCUCCUACAGUCCUGCGAAUCCGCGGCCCCUCUUGGCUCCGAGUAG
This 1512-nucleotide ribosomal RNA is filed under the name Triticum aestivum (bread wheat). RNAcentral describes it as "partial small subunit ribosomal RNA". The record is from RNAcentral. Lineage: Eukaryota; Viridiplantae; Streptophyta; Magnoliopsida; Poales; Poaceae.